AGAGGAAGCCGGUGCGAAUCCGGCGCGGUCCCGCCACUGUCACCGGGUGAUCCGAACACGGUCCCCGGGAGCCAGGAACUC
This 81-nucleotide non-coding RNA is filed under the name Streptomyces aurantiacus. Lineage: Bacteria; Bacillati; Actinomycetota; Actinomycetes; Kitasatosporales; Streptomycetaceae. The record is from RNAcentral.